ACAAACCCAAAAUAAUAAUAACGGCGUAAAGCACGACUAAAUAACAGUUAGUUACUAGGAAAUAAAACCAAGCUGGGCCGUAAAAAGCCAUAAGCCACAAUAAAUAACCUACAAUAAACUAAUUCCACUCGUGAAAGUUAGGGCACAAACUAAGAUUAGAUACCUUACUAUGCCUAACUGUAACACAACAAUCAAAUUACUAAUUGUUCGCCAAAUAACUACGAGUAAAAACUUAAAAUUUAAAAGACUUGACGGUACUUCACAACAGCCUAGAGGAGCCUGUCCAAUAACCGAUACCCCGCGAUUAACCCUACCCUCUCUAGCCAAACAGUCUAUAUACCGCCGUCGCCAGCUUACCUUAUGAAAGAAACAAAGUAAGCUAAAUAGUCAUACACUAGCACGACAGGUCGAGGUGUAACUAAUGGGGGGGGCCAAGAUGGGCUACAUUUUCUAAAACAGAAAACACGGAUAAACUAUGAAAUAAGAAACUGAAGGAGGAUUUAGCAGUACACUAAGAACAAACUACUUAGUAGAAAUUAAUGCAAUGAAGUGCGUACACACCGCCCGUCAUCCCUGCCAAUAUUAUACAAAUAUCCAUAAUACAAACAUAACUCCAAAA
RNAcentral lists this ribosomal RNA (619 nucleotides) under Rhynchocalamus dayanae (Dayan's kukri snake). RNAcentral describes it as "partial 12S ribosomal RNA". The record is from RNAcentral. Lineage: Eukaryota; Metazoa; Chordata; Lepidosauria; Squamata; Colubridae.